CGUGAUCGCCAGUAGUUGAUCGUAACGCGGGAAUUAAUUUGUAUUUUUGUAUUUUGUAUUUCUUGCGUAUAGUUUGUAGGUUUUUAAUUUUCCUCGCGGCGCAACUUGCGAACUCGGCGAUCCCUCUUUAUUAAAGUCAAAUUUUGAAAUCAAACACGCUCAACGAAGAGUCGCGAAACAGUCGUAAAAGAUACACUACACGAUCAAGAGUAGCUAUAUAGUAGCUAUAUAGUAGCUUCUCUCGCUGCUAUAUAAUAUUUUGAUAAAUGAACAUGUCCGUCGUUAUAUCGUAACCAAAAAACUAUGCAGGAGUUAAAUGCACGUAAAUAUACUAAUAGGGACAAUGAAACACGUGACAAUUCAAGCGACUGACAAGCGACUGACGACGUGUUUCGUUACAUUCCCGAUGGAAAAAUGGAAAAAAGGAUCGUUUCCUAAUCCAAGGAGUGGCCCAUCUUUCUCACGGUUCGCUGUUCAAGAACGCACGCGGUGAGACGUUUCUUCUACGAAUGAGGCUAUCUCGUCGGUCGUGGAGCACCCGACUUUGAAAAGUUGGCAGACGAGGAAUGAAAGAAGGAGAAACAAGUGUCGACGACUUAGCAACCAGGAUUGUACAGAUUUUCCAACGAAACGUGAAGAACUGUACAAUUUCUACACUAACCUAAACAUGGAUGUCUGAUCUACGUCGCCGCAAGGAGGAUCGUAUUUUCGGAAAAAAAAAAGAAGAAAAAAGAAAACGCAGAAUUAUUCCUCAAAUAAUUGCUGUGUUCCAAAUUUUCUCCCGACUUCGCCCUUUGCCCGAAAGAAUGCAAAACGAAUUCUACGCGGCAAACGUGGCCUAGCCGUACGAAGAAGAAUUCCAUUCCAACCUCCCUCCCGCCCCCAAAACCGUGGUCGGUUUUUGCCACGCAAUUACUACGAAGUAUCAUCUCUCAUGACGCAAAAGGAGAAAAACGGGAUGGGAGAGGUGGUCUCGCCGUGUCUCGCGGUUGUAUUUUCAGCAACGUGUCAUCCGGUUCGCCGUUUUACGCGGCUCGUUUAUUUUCGGUGGCGGGAGGGAGAGAAACGAGAAGAGGCGAGGAGUUACAGCGACGCAGGGGCAACCGCAGCUUCAAAGGAGCCCUCCACUCGUUACUUUAUUAGCGCGAGCGCGCGUGCCAGUACGGCCCGCGGAAAGAAAGAUCGUGGCCUUUGGAUCUCUGCUGGCGAAACGCUGGAUAAGUUCCCGGAACGAUCGUAUAAAUUUCUUCGCUUGCCGCGCAACCGCUCGCUUGAAGAAUCGAAACGCUCCGAAUCUUCCCCAACGGACGCCUUGUUCACUGCGAUAUUUCUCCUCGACGCGACGCGGAGAAACGAUCGUUGCCACCGGACGGUUUUUCUCUCCUUUCCUCAGCGACGAAUGAUCAACGACGAACUUUCGAUCGAUGUGCAGCAGCAGUGAAUUGGGAGUGAGAUUUUCAACGAACGUUGAAAAAUUCGAGGAUUGAACAAGUCUCGCGCUGGCUAUUGCAUUAUUUUACUCGUAACAUUCGUGUUACUUGUAUUUAUACUUUAUCUGUACAAUUAUAUUGCCAUUUUCUUUACAUUAAAUCGUUAAGUUUUAAAUUUUCAUAAUUGCGUUAUUUAAAUGAAUGACGAAUUUUUAACCUACUGAACUUCCACAGUGAUGUGUCUACCAUGACAAGUUUCAUUAAAUUUAUUUUUUAUUUUCAAUAGAAAAAAGUUGAAAAAUUCGGAGAUUGAACAAGUCCCGCGCUGGUUAUUGCAUUAUUUUACUCGCAAUUUUCGUAUAACUUGUAUUUAUACUUUAUCUGCACAAUUAUAUUGCCAUUUCUUUACAUUAAAUCGUUAAGUUUUAAAUUUUCA
Long non-coding RNA from Frieseomelitta varia, 1866 nucleotides. RefSeq lists it as uncharacterized. The transcript is spliced from 4 exons. The record is from RefSeq and is a predicted model, not a curated record. NCBI's taxonomy places the organism in Eukaryota, Metazoa, Arthropoda, Insecta, Hymenoptera, Apidae.